RNAcentral lists this non-coding RNA (24 nucleotides) under Ophiophagus hannah (king cobra). Its record names the gene oha-miR-107-5p. RNAcentral also lists the same sequence under 2 other names. The record is from miRBase by way of RNAcentral. Lineage: Eukaryota; Metazoa; Chordata; Lepidosauria; Squamata; Elapidae.
AGCUUCUUUACAGUGUUGCCUUGU